Long non-coding RNA from Hydractinia symbiolongicarpus, 2697 nucleotides. RefSeq lists it as uncharacterized. Lineage: Eukaryota; Metazoa; Cnidaria; Hydrozoa; Anthoathecata; Hydractiniidae. The record is from RefSeq and is a predicted model, not a curated record. The transcript is spliced from 2 exons.
UCGGGAGUAGCAGACGUCGAUACAAGACCAGCCUGUUUAGAUUUUGAUAUUCUUAUAUACAAACGUGUUUAACUUUACAAUUUAGUUUGAAACCUAUAAAAUUAAAUAUUUUAGUUACUCUCAGUUUCUAGAAUAGCAGUGCGAUUUAAAUAUUUUUGUUUCUGUCGUCUGUCUGUCUGUCUCUGCACAAAAUGGUACUGCAAGCAGUGAGACACGGAAAAUCCCCGCAGCACUGCAGCUUUAUUUUGAAUCUUGGUAGACCCAGUUUCUUUAGCGCCUUUGUUUUGAUCGCUUUGUCGUAAUAGACCAUCACGAGACUUUUCGUAAUGUUAGCUGCAUUAACUUCAAAUGAAAAAUAAUUCGUUUUAGAGAUUCUUUGAAUCCCAAAAAAGACAAAAAAGCUGUGAUAAUCAUUAGAAGGAUGACAAAUUUAAGAGAAUAAAUCGAAGAAUUGAUGACAUGGUCGCAAAAGUAGAAGAAAGGGGUACAAAGAUAGAGGAAUUGCAAGAAAAACUUGUUAAAGUUAGCAACAAACUUCAUUCUAAGGAUGCUAAAAAACAGAGAGAAGUGGAAGAAGUAAGAAAAUUAGAAACAAAAUGUGCUAACUGUGAUUUAAUUAUCAGGGAAGCGCAAGAGUUUUUUUUAUUUCUCUAACAUCUAGCAAUCUGGUAAAUGCUGUUUUAAAGAACGCUCUUCAAGAGAACGUUUGCCACUUAAACAAACAGCUCGCAGAUUCGCAAAAUGAAGGGGAAAAGGCCAUAGACGAAAUUGUAAUUCUCACUGCUUCCAAUUUUUCAGCACAAGCAUCAAAAGAAAUUUGGGAAGAAGAACUUGUUAAGCUUAAGGAUAUAUUUGCUGACUGAAAAUCAAGUUCGUCAAAUGUAACAUAACAGAGCUGCAGAAAGGUGUUCAGCAGAAGGUGUUCUAGAUGUCAGUUUGAAAUAGAUAAAUGGCGAAGUAACGCAAGGUAUAUCUAGUGCAGAUUUCCACGACAGAAUAUUCUAAGAAGAUGCUUUUGUAUUGAUGGAGUAACUGAUGUCAAUGGAAAAGAUUGGUAGUGGUGGAUUCUCUUGCAAACUAGAAUGCGCAAAUAUCAACAACGAGUUGAUAGUGAACUUUGAAACGUUCAAGAUCGCGUUUUUCAUGCUUGCUAAAGAAUGGCAGAGAAAGAUUAAACAUAAUCAAAGUCGACUCAAGAUGACGUGAUGUUUCAACGGCAGAGAUCUGACAUGGAUGUGUUUAUAUACAAUGGUUUGUGUGGACUGCAAGAUAAGUUUACGAAAAAGGAAAGUUGUUUCAGAAGAAGAUCUAAGAAAGCAAAUGUUGUAGAUAUGUUAAUAGAUGCAGUCUGUCGCAAAGCUGUUAUUUUUUUUUUUUUUUUGUUUGCUUUUGUCUCUUUGUUUGUUUGUUCAUUUGUUUGUUGUUUUUACCUAGGACUAUUUCCCGUGUUUUUGUUUAUUCUUUUAUUUUUUUCUCCUUUCAUUUUCCGUCCACAGCAGGAGAUUAGCAAAAGCAAAAAAAUGGACACCAAUGGACAUGUAAUAUCCUGCUCAUAGCCAAUGGACAUGUAUUUUCCUGCUCAUAACCAAUGGACAUGUAUUAUCCUGCUCAUAGCCAAUGGACAUGUAUUAAUCCUCUCAAAGCCAAUGGACAUGUAAUAUCCUACUUAUAGCAUAGUUUAAUGCUAGAUGCUGUAUGAGCUAAAUAAUGUUAUCAAAGGUUUUGCGUGAUAAAGUUCUUGAAUAAAGGCAGGAUUUCGCUUAAUUUGAUCGAUUCGACCAUUUUCGUUCUAGUGGAAACUAGCCUUAAGACACCAAGAUAGUAUGUGGGAGUUCUUCAAGUAUAUAUAGUAAAUAAAUAUUCGACCUCAUGUUUAGGCCAUUUUUCGUGUAACGCCAUUAAACUGGGUGGAAUGGAAAGCAGUAGUAUAUUUCUCCGUCCCAGUUAUAUUUUUGGACGAAAUUCUCAAGUUUGUCACGAGAAACUUCAUGGAACCACUCGGUCAACCAAGCAAGGAUAAAACUGAUUAAACCGGUCACGAUGUUGGUUGAAGUCGAGUUAUGUUUGUCACGUGUUCAAUGCAGUUGUUUGAUUGGCUAACGGGAUGAAAACGAGAAGUUUGUUCCGAUCGCUUGUUGUUAUUAUAUAUGUCACAUUUACAAAAAAAAGUGUUAUGAAAUAUAUAAAUUGUGAGUGUGCAAGCGACUGUCUGAUUAUACUAGCUACACAUCAACACCUCUCUUGUCAGUGUUAGCUUCGUGUCAUUUAUUGGUGUUGCUUUUUCACCGGCACACGAUCUUGUAUAAUCUGUAGUCACGUGCACAACAUUUAUCCAAUCCUACAGUUUAUUUUACUAAAUUUUAGUUAUUUUUCAAUUUUCUCUUCGUGUUUUUCUUCUUGAUGCACUACGACAACUAAAAUUAUUAUUUGUCUCUUUCAUUUCUAACGAGCGGUUUUCAUGAAAUAAUGCGUUUUAAAAUUAAACGGUAAACACGGUAAACGGUAAACAUAGCGGCAUAGCUUUCAUGUUUUAAAAGAUAUUAUUAGCACGUAUUUAUAUGAAACAAUUUUAAGAACAUCGUUUUACAAAGUUGAUUUAUUUUAACCUGAUUCCUAACGUAUACAUUUUUUUUUCGCUGAAACUGUACGAAUUAGGCCGAAAGGAAACUUUAAUAUUACCUCAAACAUGAAAAUCCA